Non-coding RNA from Puntigrus tetrazona (Sumatra barb), 584 nucleotides. The record is from the annotation of a RefSeq genome assembly. NCBI's taxonomy places the organism in Eukaryota, Metazoa, Chordata, Actinopteri, Cypriniformes, Cyprinidae.
AACUCCUACUGCCUCCUAUUCAUCAUCAUCAUAUUUCACUAGUAGUGCCUUUGCAGUUUUUAUACGCUUUUUGUAAACUAUGUUAAUCUGGCUGAGGAAUUUCCUUCUGUUGGCUGCUGUUCUAGAAUGCAGUAAACAAGAUUCAGUCAAUCAGCCCACGAGAGCUGAAACAGCUUCUGAACAUGAGAUGGUUAAACUUCACUGCACUUACAGUACCAGUGAUUCAUACCCUUAUCUUUACUGGUACCAACAUAAACCCAAUGGAUUCCCAGUUUACAUGCUCCAUAAACUCUCGACUGGAUCAGGCAGCAGUGAAAAAGAAUUUGAGGAAAGAUUUCAUGCAGAUCUCAACAAAUCCUCAAACUCAGUUUCUCUGGCAAUCAGGGAUGUGCCUGUGACUGACUCUGCUGUUUAUUACUGUGCUCUGCAGCCCACUGUGACUCAAACACAUAAACAUCCUGACAAGAACUAACAGACUAACUGACAGUUAUGGAUAGCUUAUUCAGAUGCAUUAGAAGGAGGGGCUUUAAAUAUCUAGUUUGAACCUGACAAGAUCAUUUAAUUUGAGACGGAAAGCAUAACAC